UACGUAGGUGGCAAGCGUUGUCCGGAUUUACUGGGCGUAAAGAGCGCGCAGGCGGUCAUUCAAGUCGAGUGUGAAAGCCCCCGGCUCAACUGGGGAGGGUCACUCGAUACUGUUUGACUCGAAGGCGGGAGAGGGAAGUGGAAUUCCCGGUGUAGUGGUGAAAUGCGCAGAUAUCAGGAGGAACACCGGUGGCGAAGGCGGGUCUCUGGGCCGAUACUGACGCUGAGGAGCGAAAGCGUGGGGAGCGAACAGG
This 253-nucleotide ribosomal RNA is filed under the name uncultured bacterium. Its description in RNAcentral is "partial 16S ribosomal RNA". It matches the Rfam family "Bacterial small subunit ribosomal RNA", at positions 524 to 776 of the family's 1533-position model. The record is from RNAcentral.